AGUCCUCACAGCCCUCGCUCGCUCUCGGCGCCUCCUCUGCCUGGGCUCCCACUUUGGCGGCACUUGAGGAGCCCUUCAGCCCACCGCUGCACUGUAGGAGCCCCUUUCUGAGCUGGCCAAGGCCGGAGCCGGCUCCCUCAGCUUGCAGGGAGGUGUGGAGGGAGAGGCGCGAGUGGGAACCGGGGCUGCGCCUGGCGCUUGCGGGCCAGCUGGAGUUCCAGGUGGGCGUGGGCUUGGCGGACCCCGCACUCGGAGCAGCCGGCCGGCCCUGCCGGCCCCGGGCAAUGAGGGGCUUAGCACCCGGGCCAGCGGCUGCGGAGGGUGUACGGGGUCCCCCAGCAGUGCCAGCCCACCGGCGCUGCGCUCGAUUUCUUACCGGGCCUUAGCUGCCUUCCCGCGGUGCAGGGCUCGGGACCUGCAGCCCGCCAUGCCUAAGCCUCCCACCGCCUCCAUGGGCUCCUGUGAGGCCCGAGCCUCCGCGAUGAGCGCCGCCCCCUGCUCCACGGCGCCCAGUCCCAUCGACCACCCAAGGGCUGAGAAGUGCAGGCGCAGGGCGCGGGACUGGCAGGCAGCUCCACCUGCAGCCCCCGUGCAGGAUCCACUGGGUGAAGCCAGCUGGACUCCUGAGUCUGGUGGGGACGUGGAGAAUCUUUGUGUCUAGCUCAGGGAUUGUAAACGCACCAAUCAGCGCCCUGUCAAAACAGACCACUCGGCUCUACCAAUCAGCAGGAUGUGGGUGGGACCAGGUAAGAGAAUAAAAGCAGGCUGCCUGAGCCAGCCGUGGCAACCUGAUCGGGGUCCCUUUCCAAGCUGUGGGACCUUUGUUCUUUCUCUGUUUGCAAUAAAUCUUGCUACUGCUCACUCUUUGGGUCCACACUGCUUUUAUGAGCUGUAACACUCACCUCGAAGGUCCGCAGCUUCACUCCUGAAGCCAGCGAGACCACGAGCCUACCGGGAGGAACGAACAAUUCCCGACGCGCUGCCUUAAGAGCUGUAACACUCACCGCGAAGGUCUGCAGCUUCACUCCUGAGCCAGCGAGACCACGAACCCACCAGAAGGAAAAAACUCCGAACACAUCUGAACAUCAGAAGGAACAAACUCCGGACACGCCGCCUUUAAGAACUGUAACGCUCACCGCGAGGGUCCGCGGCUUCAUUCUUGAAGUAAGUGAGACCAAGAACCCACCAGUUCCGGACACAAUUUCAAGUCCUCAGGUGCCAUCAAUAUUCUGAAAAUGGCAGUGAUUUUUAUUCAACCUGUAUAAGCCACUUUCACCAUGUACCUGGAAGCAACAUCCACAUCUUUUUCAGCAAUCUAGAUGCUGGGGACACAAGGUCCACCUUCCAGGAAUAUGGCCAUGACACCAGAAAUCACAAACAUGAUGAGAAUGGAAUGAUUGGGGAAGAAGUGCCAGAUGCUUCACUUGUAAAUGAAGACCCAGCCUCUGGGGAUGCAGAUACCACCUCCCUGAAGAAGCUGAAGAUCUGCAGAUAAGUGGAGUUCACCAAUGAUGAGGAGCAGGAUGGAGAAAGGAGGUAGGGAGAGUCAUCCAAGGUACAUGAGCAACAUGUUAAAAGAAUUGAACCAGAGUCCCGUGAAUAUCAGCACUGGGACCAGUUAGCAGAGGAAAAGGAAAGAAUAAAAGCGAAAACAAUGAAGAGUCAUAUGAUUACCAACUUUUCCUUUUUCAUAUAAAUUGAGUGUAUAUGGGUCUGGAACAACCUGAAUUUCCAUCAAGUCCUGGCUAACCUCAUUAUGUCCUAUGAAUACUUUUGACUAAUCCCACUUUACAUUAAUCUGUAUUGUGAAUGUGAAUAUUGAAUUAUAUUUCUUUGUAAUCCCAUUAUCCAAAAUCCAGUUCAGAGACUAUUAGUUACCGAUGUUCACUGUGAAGGAAAAAAAAAAAAAAAAGCUCAGAGGAUAAACAUGUGAUAUGGUUUGGCUGUGUCCCCACACAAAUAUCAUCUUGAAUUGUAGCUCCCAUAAUUCCCACGUGUUGUGGGAGGGACCCGGUGGGAGAUAAUUGUAUCAUGGGGGUGGUUCCCCCAUACUAUUCUCGUAGUAGUGAAUAAGUCUCACAAAAUCUGAUGGUUUUAUGAGGGAAAACCCCUUUCACUUGGUUCUCAUUCUCUUCUCUGGUCUGUCAUCAUGUAAGACAUGCCUUUCACCUUCUCCACCAUGAUUGUGAGGCCUCCCCAGCCACGUGGAACUGUGAGCCCAUUAAACCUCUUUCACUUAUAAAUUACCCAGUCUCUGGUAUAUCUUUAUCAGCAGCAUGAAAACAGACUAGUACAACAUGUUUGGAAAUGAUGUUCAGAAUUAAAUUUUCUUCUUGAAGAAUAAUAAUGUGCAGGAGUGUGUUGAAGAUUUUGAGAAUUCUCACAGCAAAGGAACUUGUUAAUUUUUUUAAUCCACCUACCUAAUAGAAUUAAUAUUUUAAGAGAAACAGC
Molecule: long non-coding RNA, 2451 nt
Organism: Pan troglodytes (chimpanzee)
Lineage: Eukaryota; Metazoa; Chordata; Mammalia; Primates; Hominidae
Exons: 4
Source: RefSeq, a predicted model, not a curated record